Molecule: long non-coding RNA, 352 nt
Organism: Rhipicephalus sanguineus (brown dog tick)
Lineage: Eukaryota; Metazoa; Arthropoda; Arachnida; Ixodida; Ixodidae
Exons: 3
Source: RefSeq, a predicted model, not a curated record
GGUAGCGCGCGUCCAUGUGCAUUUCUUCGGCGGCAUGUUCGCGUACGUUCGUUUCCGCGACGACAACGAAAAGCGAAUCGUCCCAGUGGCUGCAUGUAAACACCUCAAGCCGAACGAUACGAGCGAUUUUAAUCCUCGCAAAUGGUACAAAGCCUUCUGGAAAGAUGAAACACACUGCGACCACUACCACGUGCGCUCAAGUGAUUAGGCUUUACGCUACCGAGGACGAUGCAAGGAAGGCUACCGAAAAACGAACUUCCAUUCCGCAAAGACCUGGCAGCGACUCCUCCUAUAGCUGCAGUUCAAAUGAAGUGGAUGGAUCGUUUGAAGAAGAAACGCAGCGUCAAGCUGC